UACGUAGGGUGCAAGCGUUGUCCGGAAUUAUUGGGCGUAAAGGGCUCGUAGGCGGUCCGUCACGUCGGGAGUGAAAACUUGGGGCUUAACCCCAAGCCUGCUUCCGAUACGGGCGGACUAGAGGUAGGCAGGGGAGAACGGAAUUCCUGGUGUAGCGGUGAAAUGCGCAGAUAUCAGGAAGAACACCCGUGGCUAAGGCGGCUCUCUAGUACGGUACUGACGCUGAGACGCGAAAGCGUGGGGAGCGAACAGG
Molecule: ribosomal RNA, 253 nt
Filed under: uncultured bacterium
Lineage: Bacteria
Description: partial 16S ribosomal RNA
Rfam family: Bacterial small subunit ribosomal RNA
Source: RNAcentral